CCUCCGCGCCCCACACUUCGCACCGCGCGGCUCGCCGGCGCCUCUAUCUAUUUUGUGUCCAGCCCCAGCCGCGCGCCGUGAUUCAUGGCCCCAAUUAGGGGCCCUCCCGCUCCAGCGCCUGCGGCUCCAGGGUCUCCUGGGGACCUGGGACACCCGGCAGCGUCCCAGGCUGGUUUUUCAGCAGAGGUCAAGCGGGACGUGGGAGGAGCCAGAAUCUGUCUGGCUCUGGGAGACACCAUCCCCCACCCGGCCCGCCCUCUCGCCUAAUCCAAGGAUUUUGCCGUGAACUUCAGGGCCUCGUAAAACGCCUUUGAUAAACGAUCACCGCCGGCAGUGCUGACCUGUGAGGGGAGGACAGCAGACGCUCCGCAUAAAUCCCCCGAGCUCCGAGCUCCGAGCUCCGAGACACACUUGCCGCUGCCGCCUGCUCCUCUACGGAUGGCUGAUCGGGCAGCAGCAACACAGCGGUCAGCGCCGGGGUGGUUCCCACAUGUCCAAGCCUCAUGGGGCCUGGGGACGGUGGGCGUGGGUGAGCGAGGAGGGGAGGGACAGACGUGGACGGUAGCAGGGGGUCCUGGUGUGCCGCAGUGUGAACAAGAAGCCAGUUUGUGUCUCAGGACUCGUUUACGGGGAGUCGCUGGAUGCAGAAUGAGCUGCUUCCCUCAGGUCUCGCAACAAAACAUCUGAAAAGAGGGCUGUGCUGUUGAGCACCUUGACGCAUGGGAGGGACGCUGAUGCCUGCAACAGUGACCGUGUCCCCGCGGUCCCUGAGCUGGGUGGUGUCGGCCAGCCUGGCCUGGGCGCCUCACUCACCACCCGGCUGCAGGCCCACCUUGCCUGACCCAUCCCCAUAAAGGCAUCCUUGUCCCUUGCUGGGUCCUGCCAAUGAAGCUGAUGGUCGGAGCUCACUGGCUGCCUUCUGGACCUGCCCAUGGCUCCACCGGCGGCCGUCACCCUAAGCCUGGGGUCCCCAAGCCCGGGUACUGGAGCUCUACAGUGGGCUGGCACAGGAGGGCCAGGAAGUGAGCGGCCCCAGAUUCUUUCCAGCUGUUCUCUGAGUCACUGCAGUGUGUUCCAAGCCCAGCUGCCAGCUGCCUCCCUGGCCUGUUAUUUAUGCAGUUGCUGAGCUGUUGCUGGACUCAUCGACGGGAAUGUACGGUGGCCCUGAAGCUUGUAUCUAGUGUUCAACUGGGGUGUUGUGUUUCUUAAAAACUCUAACUGAAGUUUCGCCCCUCGACAGAAACAGGGCAUCUCGCCGAGUUCUCCCAAGCUGGACACCCCAGUGGGGUCACCUAGAAGUGCCACGAGUCCAGCUCCCAGCAGCGUGCCUGCUGUCAGGCUCCUGUGUCCCCCUGCCGAGAGUGAGGACUCACAGGCAGGACUGCAGGCGCCCCAAGUUCUGACUCCGGACUUCUUAGCCGCUCUAUCGAGGUACAGCCCACAGCCCCACAGCUCCCAGUCCGUGUGAGUGAAUUCACCGCAUUGUGCAGCCCCAGCGCAGCCGGUUCCAGACCGCUUUCCUCACCCGGAAGAGAAACCUCGUCCUGGUCGUCAUCCCGUCCGUCUGUCGCGCCCUCCCAGCACCUGGCACCUGGAUUCACCUUCUGUCCCUGUGGACUGGCCUGCUCUGGACGCUUUGCACCAAGGAGAUCGUGCAGCCCCGGCUCUUUGCAUCUGGCUCUUCUGCUUUUCAUAGCGUUUCCAAGGGUGGCUGGGUCGUGGCUUGAGGUGGUGCGGGCCAUGUUUGUACCGUUGAGGUAGAAGUUCACCACACGUGAUCUUGGGGUCCAACUUCCUGCUCCAUGUUACGUCUGUGAAAAUCUCCCGUUUGGGGUGCUUUGCUUUUUAUUCUGUGAUGCUGGAGUUGGAACCCAGGCCUCUAGUGUGCUGAGACUGUGCUCCACCUGAGCGCACCCCAACCCCGCCCUGUGCUCUCGAGCAGCAGCCCUCUCUCCUGUUUGGUGAUGCACAGUGGUCCCCUGGUGGAGAGUCUGCUGUGCCUUAUCCAUUGUUGGGCUUGAGGGAGUCUCCAUCCGAAGCUGGGGCCUGGAGUGGUUUUUUCCUAAGCAUUGAGUCCAUGCCUUUUCUUGAAAACACAUAAUACGGCCGGGUGGGUGGUGACAUACACCUUGUAAUCCCAGCACUCAGGAGGCUGAGGCAGGAGGGUCUCUGCAAGCCUGGGCUACAUAAUGAGUUCAAGACCAGCCUGGACUGCGUAGCAAGACCCUGUCUCCAAAAAAAAAGAAAGAAAGAGGAAGCACACAAUGCCUUUCUCUUUGGUAGACACCUAAGGGCAGACUUGCUGACCUGGAGGUGGGUGCGCGCGCACUCUGCGGCACACUGACGCACUCUCGGUCACACUCUGGCGGCUGCUGUGACCCCCAGGCUCCCGGUUCCCAGCCCUGUCACCCCCGCAGCUGCCUGCCCACCGGCCGGCCUGGCCCCUCAGUCCACCGCCCACCUGAGCCCGGGGAGGCCCCACAGGCGGCAGAGGACAGGGCUUGGUGGCCGUGUUUUCCUUGGGCCGUGCACGCACAUGCGGCUUUUCUGCCCUGGCUCCGACACUGUGUUCCUUUCACAGGCCAGAAAUACACAGGCAGGCUCGCUCUGAAAGGGGAAACACGGUUUUGCAUUCCAACCCGCCCAGGUCUUCUCGUGAUGGGGAACGUUCCAGCUGUCCCAGGGCAGGCUCCCCCAAACAGUAGCGCUCAGUCCCUGGCGAGCUCCACUCUGGGCUCAGCUCCUCCUGCCCAGGGGGUUGGACGGGCGCAGGCUGCAGGCAGCAGUGCCCUGUGGCGCAUGUGUCUCCAAGGGAGGCUCAGAGUCUGGUCCAGAACCGCAGGCAUCAUCCCAAGCCAUCCUUCCAGUGCCCAGUGAGAUGAGCGCACAGAUAAAUCCUGCAUCUCAGAUGUGCACAUUUGAGCACAGGAGCUAGCUUGCCCCGCGUCACACAGCUUCUAAGCCACAGAUCUGGGAUUCCAGCCCAGGCUGUCUCUCCGGAGCCCACACUGAGAACCGCAUGGCUUUGUCUCUGACUUCAGACUCCAGCCGUGCGUUCUGGCUCUGCCAGACUCACAUUUCCCUGGUCCACUUGGAUGUGGGAGCAGCCACGCCUCAC
Molecule: long non-coding RNA, 3118 nt
Filed under: Heterocephalus glaber (naked mole-rat)
Lineage: Eukaryota; Metazoa; Chordata; Mammalia; Rodentia; Bathyergidae
Description: lncRNA (ENSHGLG00100050018.1)
Source: RNAcentral